RNAcentral lists this unclassified non-coding RNA (7975 nucleotides) under Leishmania donovani. RNAcentral's name for it is "gene:LdHU3.28.2320(CDS-product:hypothetical_prote in_conserved)". The record is from RNAcentral. Lineage: Eukaryota; Euglenozoa; Kinetoplastea; Trypanosomatida; Trypanosomatidae.
UUGCCUUCUUGUAACAUUAGCCACCCGUCGGUCUGCACCACGAAAUCCCUCUCCCUCUCCUCUCUCUUGUUGUCUCUCGGGGCAGGCUUCACACACCACUCCUCCGUCUUUCGUUUCUGCUUCUUUCUUACCCAUCGGAGACCCCUCUCUGUGCAUCUCUUGUCUGCCCCCCCCCCCUCCACCCCCGAUGUGUGUUGGUGCCCUCUAGGAGGGAGAGAGAAAAAAACAACAACAGGCAAACCACAUUAACAUCAGAAAGCGCGCGACACGGCGCUGCUGCUGGACUGGGACAUACAGCUACGCGGCAUCUCCUCUUUCCUUCUCCUCCAUAGGAGAGAAAGAGCAGCGAAGGAGGCGGAGGUCGGUGCUCGCCAGUCUACCGGCCACCCACACACCCCGCCCGUCUACUCAACAGUCAAGCGAGCCGACAUUUUGGCGCAAGAGGGGUUGUCGCGAGGCCAGCAACGCACACACACACAAAAAAGGGAAGGCUUCGGGGCCGUUCUCGUAGGAGGGAGGGUGCAGUGCCAGAGUACGCGCAAAAGAAACGAGAAUGGGAGGGGCACCGAGUAGGGAGACGCUGGUGCGACACAUCGUGCGUGACCCUCGCGUCCGGGGAAGCGCCGCUCCAAUCGUCGGGCACUCCGCGUCUCCUGGCGCUAACAAUGCCGGAGAGCCGCCGACUGACGUGCCGACGGCGACGUCGCAGCAGCCGGAAAUUAUACUGAUCCCCCUCAUCCCUGAUUACUUCCCCAGCUCCGCCUCGCCGCUUUUCCAGCAGCUGCUGCACGUGCGGCGAGAAGCGAACGUAGCUUAUUACUACCGGGAUGCCCGCAGCAUGGCGACGGAGCACACGGUGGUGCGAGAUCAGAUCGGCACCGACAAGGAUAUUUACAACUGGUACAUGAGCCUCAGCGAGCAGCGGCUGCUGGAGACGGACAACGAGCUGAUCGCUCUGAGCCGCGCAGGGCGAGUAGUGUCACCAGUGCCAUGCGCCGUUGCCUUUGUGUACAAGGCAAGCGCCACCGCAGCCGUCGCUGCCGCGGGUGGUGCUGUGGCGUCCACCACCGACACACCAUCUCUCGCUAGCAGCAUUGGCGGAGGUAAGCAGAAGAACGGCAGAAACGGCAGGCUGCAUCGGCAUGGCAAGGUCAGCGGCGCCGGUGCGUCGAACGGGUACAUGACGAUCGAGAACACGGUGCGGUUGCCGCACUACAACCUGCGCGUGCGCAUCUUCGGCUUUGUCGGCGAUACGCGCUUUUGCCCGCCAUCGAUGCACCACAGCCAGGCCGCCAGGCUGCCCAUGUGCCUCACGAUUUUUCUGUCGAAGAGCGCGGGUGGCAACCACCGCGCGCAGGUGACUCUUCUCGCGGCACACACAUACAUAACACAGAUGCAGGCCAUCGGUAUCCUGCGACCCCACGACGAAGCGCCGCAUGUGGGCGGUGGAGUGGUGCAAGGUCUGGCGGCGCGGGCGGCCGUCAGAGCAAACGCGGCGGGGCGCGAGGCGGACCCUCUCGCGGCGCUGCGCCUCACUGCUGCUACCGGCGCUGGCAGUGCUGCAGCUGCCUACCGAGAUCCGUACGCUGACCCAUACGCUGCCGAUCUUCCUGCCGCGGCCGAUCCGUACGCGAUCGCCGACGAUGAUCACAGUAGUGACGUUGAGGGGAAGCGCCACUUGCCACUGCAUAUGGCCAGCUUAGUCCCACGAGAUGGGUUGAAGACGCACCUGGAAGGCCUGGGCACCAUGAUCACCUCCGCCGCCGCGGACGUCGCCAAGGAGACAGUGUUGCGCCGUCCCAUCGAAAUCGUCAUGCACCGCGCCGAUGUGCCGGCUCUGUGCUACCUGCGUGAGCUGCGCGCGCGCAUGGGUCAGAGCUCCGCGUGCGCGACCCCCGCGAUCAGCGAGAAGAAGAGUAAAGCGCCUACGCCGUUGUCUUGUGCGAAGCCGAUCUCAACGGCACCGACGAUGACGUCGUCGUCUCGCGGCGCCAGCAACGAGGGGGACUGCGGUGACGACAUAUGCGCGGCACCCGCGAACAGCAACGCGGGCUUACGGCAGUCCUGUGCCCCGAACGAGUCACGGGUGGCGAAGACGGAUGCCAACUCUAGCAUCAGCGCCGUUGCGACGCGCCCCGGAGGUGAUGCUGCUGAGGUUGGCUCUGAGUCGCUGAGGUACCAAAUCCGGACGGUGAUUUGCGCAGAUGAGCUGCGCGGCUCCGUGGCGGCGGAUUCGAUCGGCCGCGUCCUGUUGUGGGCAUCGCGCUUCUACACCGGACACUUCGAGCAGCUUGUGGGGGGAGAGGCGGCGAAGCUGCGGCAGGAGCUCGCGCAGCGGAACCUGACAGAGAGCCCGCUUGAUGGCACGCUCUUGCUGACCGACGAGGAGCCGCGGCCUCCGAGGGUGACCCCGAAGGUCGGCGACGUCUGGAUCCCGUCAAACGAGGCCUACGUCGAAGCGCACUACACGGAACACGAAGGAGACGGGUGGGCCAAGGUGGCAGCGGGAACGGUGCUGCGGUACGUCACGUCUGCGUCCUCGGCUUCCUCGACACCGGCUCCAGACGCCUUCUGGCGCAUCUCGCCCAACGAGUUUGCCGAGGACAUUCUCUUGUCGCUCUGCCGGAAAGCGUGUCAGGCAUCGCGGCGGGCACCACCGACGGACUCGCAUUGGCUGCUGAGCGGCAAGACCGGCGUGCCGGAGGGGCUCGGCAUGGGCCUCUUAAUCUGGCGCGAGCUGUGUGCGGGGCAGGUGGUCUUUUACGGGACCACACCCGAGUUUCUCAAGAAGUGGAUCCAGUCAGGGGCGGAUGUGGAGCAGGCGUACCGCAACCACAUCAAGCGAUCGCACUCGAGCAAGGAGGCGACCUCCGCGGCAGAGGCGGAGCCUGGCGGCGCGACAGCCGCGAGGGAUGACGACGCCGUAGCGGGAGCUCAGUCGCUGUCGAUGACUGUUGCCGCCACCACUGCCGCCUCCAGUGGGUUACGCAGCUCCUAUGAGGGCAACUUCCCAUCGAACCCGUCUGGCGCGUCCGAUGGGCCCGACAAGAGUGGCAGCAGUGACGGCAGACGCGACAAGGGGUCCGGCUCAUCCUCGAUGGAGCUAUACAGCGCACACACCGGUUUUGUAUCGGCUUCGGUGCAGGCGAAAGCAAUCUUGUCGCCCACGUCGCCCACGGAGAGUGGCAGUCACGCAGACGACGGUGCCAAGCCAAAGCGGGUCCGCACCGACGACCAGCCACGCACACCCUCGUCGUCCACGCCGCCUGUCGCGGUCGGCCGUCUCGCGCAGCCACACAACGUUUCUGACACCCCUCGCAAAAAUGCUCGACAGGGGAGGGUUGUGCCUGCCCAGCAGCGCUUGCAGGUCGCCCUGCCGGUCGCGUCCAGCACCUCCAUGACCUUGUGGACGCAUUCAGCGAGCACUGUAGGAACGCCCAACUCGCACACGGGGGUGAGCCCCGCGUCGGCAAGCAUGGGCAGCCACAGCAGCUCUGCAAGCCUCUCUUACCGCCAGCCGUCGCAGCGCAGGUCUCCGGCUGCUGCUACCACGACGUGCUGGAUUGGUGUCCCCGAGUCGGCCCCGGCCGACAACGCCGAUGUGCCCACUGUAAACGUGGUCGUGAGGCAGCGCCGCAGCGUGCGCGCGACGCCAAGUUGUUCUGCUACCGUCGGCACCACGCCUCUACGAGCCAGUCAAAUGAGCGAUAGCCCCCACCACUUCCACACAUCGCGCGGCGUACCAAGCAUGCCAUCCGUCAGUACACAGACGAGCGUCGUCGGUGCGACUUCUGGGGCGUCUGCUGAGUACAGCGCGCAGGCAACAGGCUCUGCGGUGAUUCAACCGUGCGGGUCGACACCGGUGCGCAUCCCGGGCAGGUGGGGUUCCAGCGAGGAUGGUACGCACCUGCAGGGUGGGCACUCGCCGGCGCCUGCCGAGCAAGGCAAAUACCUGCGUGCCGAGGGAGAGCUGCUCCCGCACUCUUGCACGUCGAACAACACGACGGGGCUUGCCGAUGCGCGGCGACCGCCACCGCAGCGCUCCGCUGCUGUGACCAUUAGGCCUGGCUACGGUACCGGCAACAUUGCCAGCACUCCGCAGCUGCCCGCAACGCCAGCCAAGUGGAACACGUCCAGCGCGGCACAGUCGUUUUCUAUGCGUGGCACCUCCAUUACCUUUGCAAGCGGCUCUGCGUCAUCGGCGCACGCCCGUCACGCCUCCCUGCUGCACUCCAUCCGGCACACCGAGCCGUGCCAGCCGGUGUCUUCAGCUCGCUCAUCGUCGAUGUCGACGGCGGAGCUGCUCUGGUCGAGUUUCUGCUCGAACGCCUCGCCGAUGUAUCGAAAGGGGUCGCUGCGUCCGCCGCAGCCGGAUACGGUUGAGGGUGACGUUGGCCGUAUGCACGCAUUACAGCACACUCCGGUGCUACAUUCUAGUGACGAUCCAGUGCGCAGGGGCUGUGGCGCCGUCUCUCCUGUGGGCAUGCCGGCUGUAGCGACAGCACUGAUGGCCGGCACGCCGCGUCCUGGCGGCGAGGCGACGACAAUGCCGUUCUCGGGCCACAGCAGCGCCGCGCACACGCCUCGUCAAGGCGAUCUGGUGAACAGCGCGAAGAACUCCGUCGGCUCCGGCAAGUACCGCUGGGACUGGCGCGGCGUCUCUUGGCCGGCAUAGCGACAAGGGUGACGCAUCGAUAUAGAGGAGCGGGACAGCCGGACAGAGGCGUCCAAGAAGAUUAUAAGGGGAAGAGAGGAGGUGGGAUUCGGUGCGUGUAAGGGGCUCAGGCUCACGCUCUCCUUUACCGUGAUGCCAGAAAUGGUACGACAGUGGCUUGAACUCAGCCCUCCGCUCCUUCUCUUUGCCACACGUGGCACGAGGGCUGCCGAGACAGCAGUGCAUCUGAUUCUCUGUACGCGCUCCUUCACACCUUUGUGGUGAUGGUGGUGUGGUGGUCUCUCGUGUCUCUUUCCGUUUCCGUGGACAUGAGAGCAUCAGGAAUGACGGAGGAAUCGAGACGCUGAGCGUCUUGAGCGUGCGAUGUGCCAUCCGCCUCUUUUCGCGCUCUCUCUUGUCUAUGUUUCGUGUUUUUUUUUUCUGUACUCCCUUGGCCGCCCGUCUCCCUCCGUGCCCUAUCUCAAAAUUGUUUUGUUUCUUCGUGCUGUCUUGUGUGCCGCUUCAAAAAGGUGAGGCUCGCCGCUGCUGCUGCCGCCGCUAUUGAUGUGGUGGCGUUUCAUUUUCCUGCGUGCUUUACUUGUAAAAUGUGGCUGCUCUGUCUUUCUCUCGCGGAUAGUGACGACUCAUCUUUUCCGUUCCGUCUACGUGGGUGCACGGCUGCGCGUGCCGUUGUUUUCUAUCGUAUCUGCCUGUUCCCUUCAUGUUCUCAUCCCCUCUUUUCUGUGUGUGUGUGUGUCUUCGCCCCUUUCCCCAACCCCCCCUCUCUCUCUCUCUCUCGCUGUUGUGCUUCCUCCUUCCUCUCCCUUUUGUUGUUUGUAUUGGUUUGCUCGCUUGGGUCCCUUCCUCUCCCCUCUCUGUGCCUGUGUGUCUCUGCGUGUGUGUCUCUCUGUCUGUGUGUGUGCACGUGGCUUAUUCGCCUCGCCGAAGCCGUCCUUGCGACUCUAUGAGUGCUCCCUCUCUUCGGGUGUUCUCCGCCUCUCCUCCCCGACCUCUGCCGGACCCCCUUUCGUUCAUGUACCUUCUCAACCGCUCCUCCCACUGUUCCGUCGCGGCCGCGCUCAAUCCCCUUCACCAUUCCCACGCCGGCGAAACGAUGACAGAGGGGGGGGGAAGGGAGGGGAGGCGACGGACUUCUGUUCUGCGGCCGCAACGUGGGUGAGGGAUGUGAAGGGAAAAGUGGUGUCACUUGCCAUGAGGGCACCGUAACGUGUUGCCGUAGUUUCAGCUUCACGGUCGACGUCUUCCACCCAGCCUGUCGAGCCCUCGCUGACCUCACGUCUUCGAGAGGUGUGCCACGUCGCGAGAGAGAGAGGGGCCGAUGAGUGGCGGCUGCACUUGAUGCGGUACGCAAAGUGGCGACGAAGACGAGCACACAAAAAAAUCGAGAACGUGCAGCAGGGAGGUGAGACGCACCUUCCAUUCACCAAGCGGCGCUCAUCAAUCAACUCUGAUCACCACCGCCGAUCUCUCAUCCCUUGUUCUCGCGGCUGUGACUGGUGCUUUUUUGUGUGCGUACACGUGCCCUGCGGCUGCCGCUGCCGUUGUCGGUCUGUUCGCUUUCUUUUAUACUUACUAUCUCCUUCCCCCCUAGCCGUCUGGGUUUUGAUCGCGAAGCUGCAGAGGUGCACGCCGGUGGACGGGCGUGUGCACUCAGGUGCGCGUUGGAUGAGUGUCUUUGUACUUUUCUCUUGUGUGACAGUGUGGCCUCAUGUGCGUGUAUGCCUGUGUUGAAGUGAGUGUGCGUGUCGUCCUCAUGGCGGACGACGCGGAGGCGGCAGGAAACAGGAUGCGCUACAUCCUCGUGUUGCUUUACAGGCCGGCAAUCUCAGUGCUAACGCGGAUGUUGUGUGUGCGUGUUUUCUCUCUUGCCUUCCGUUUUGUUUGUUCUCUACGCGCUUCUCCCUUUUUGCUUUCUCUGCCUUUUUUCGGUCAUGUCUGUUUCUUCGACCACCUCCUUCGCUUUCUCUGAGCGCGCGUACUUGCGUGCCUCUGUGUCGUCACGCGUCUUGUGCGGGCUUGACUCUUCGCACAUAGACUCUCCCCUCCCGCGCAAUGGGAUGCAAGGUGCCUCGAGCUACCUCUUCACCCUUUCCCUCACCUCAAAGAACAGCACAAAAUGGUGGAAGGACAUAUCUGAUCUCUCAGUGUGCGUGCGUGUGUGUCGACAUUAUCAUUUUUUUUGUUUGUUGUUCGAUUCUCUUUGUCUCGGUGUUUUCGCCCCCCCCCCCUCUAACGCUACAACGGAUGUGCGCGUGUGCACUGCUCUCUUCCUUUCUGUUCUCGUUUCGAUGUCUUUACGGAUGCAACGACUCGCCCUUCCAUCACACACACACACACACACACACGUACACACACAGCUUUUUUCUUAAUGUUUUUUUUGUUUGUUUGCCUUUCUGUGUUUCCAUAUUCUUCGCUCUCUCCUCUUUCACAUGUACACGCGCGCGCUCGAUGUUAUAACAGCGCUUCUUCGUUUGCCGUGUUGGCAUUGUCGUCGUCUUUUAUGCUCCGCUGGUCUUUUGGGAUGCCAAGCACGGCAUUCUCCCUCUCUCUCACACACACAACAUAUAUACAUAUAUACACAUAUAUUGUGUGCAUGUGUGUGUGACUUGAUUUUUACACUUGGGCAAUUUGUGCGCGCGUGUAUGCUUGCCGGCAGCACGGAGAGAGAAGGGGAGACAGAGGGAGGUGACAUAGGAUCGUCUUUGCUUCUCUUGUCUGUCGUUCAGCUGCUGCUCUUCCAUUCUCCUCACUACCGCUGCUGCACAUUCGCCUCUGCGAGCACAAACAGCCAAGGAAAACACCAGUUUCGAGUGUCGAGCAGCGACGGCGUGCAGCGGUCAGUGACGUAUAUCUGUACGCGCGUCUUCCUCUCAUCAAGCUGCACCCUUCUCUUCUCAUACCCUUUGCCCCCCCCCCCCCCCCCCCCCCCCACUUUCUCCACGCCUGACGCGCAUUUUUUUCUCGCUUGACCUAUUGAUUUCUUCGUUCCGUCUCUGGUUCGCGUUGCCCAGCACGGCAGCUGACCUGCUCGGUCUCUACCACUACCACCACCACCCGCUCUCUCCUGCAGCACGGCAAAUAACACACACAUGCAUACCUAUCUGCAGACCUGUCGAGGGAGAACAAACGAGGGCAGCAGUGUAGGCCAUGUCUCCUCUUUUUCUCGCCAUGGCCGUCGUAACAAGCUUCCUUCCCUAUCUACAUGCUUUCUUUCUUCCCACCCCUUCCCCUCUAUUUCUCGCCCCACGCACUCGCACGCGCACUCGUCGAUCGAUGUCUCCUAUCACACUUUUCUGAUAG